Molecule: ribosomal RNA, 2884 nt
Filed under: Serratia marcescens
Lineage: Bacteria; Pseudomonadati; Pseudomonadota; Gammaproteobacteria; Enterobacterales; Yersiniaceae
Description: 23S ribosomal RNA
Rfam family: Bacterial large subunit ribosomal RNA
Source: RNAcentral
GGUUAAGUGACUAAGCGUACACGGUGGAUGCCUAGGCAGUCAGAGGCGAUGAAGGGCGUGCUAAUCUGCGAAAAGCGUCGGUAAGGUGAUAUGAACCGUUACAACCGGCGAUACCCGAAUGGGGAAACCCAGUGUGUUUCGACACACUAUCAUGUCAUGAAUACAUAGUGGCAUGAGGCGAACCGGGGGAACUGAAACAUCUAAGUACCCCGAGGAAAAGAAAUCAACCGAGAUUCCCCCAGUAGCGGCGAGCGAACGGGAGGAGCCCAGAACCUGAAUCGGCUUGUGUGUUAGUGGAAGCGUCUGGAAAGUCGCGCAGCAAAGGGUGAUAGCCCCGUACACUAAAAUGCACAGGUCGUGAGUUCGAUGAGUAGGGCGGGACACGUGACAUCCUGUCUGAAUAUGGGGGACCAUCCUCCAAGGCUAAAUACUCCUGACUGACCGAUAGUGAACCAGUACCGUGAGGGAAAGCGAAAAGAACCCCGGCGAGGGAGUGAAAUAGAACCUGAAACCGUGUACGUACAAGCAGUGGGAGCACCUUCGUGGUGUGACUGCGUACCUUUAUAAUGGGUCAGCGACUUAUAUUUUGUAGCAAGGUUAACCGUAUAGGGAGCCGUAGGGAAACCGAGUCUUAACUGGGCGAAUAGUUGCAAGGUAUAGACCCGAAACCCGGUGAUCUAGCCAUGGGCAGGUUGAAGGUUGGGUAACACUAACUGGAGGACCGAACCGACUAAUGUUGAAAAAUUAGCGGAUGACUUGUGGCUGGGGUGAAAGGCCAAUCAAACCGGGAGAUAGCUGGUUCUCCCGAAAGCUAUUUAGGUAGCGCCUCGUGAACUCAUCUUCGGGGUAGAGCACUGUUUCGGCUAGGGGCCAUCCACCAAACCGAUGCAAACUCCGAAUACCGAAGAAUGUUAUCACGGGAGACACACGGCGGGUGCUAACGUCCGUCGUGAAGAGGGAAACAACCCAGACCGCCAGCUAAGGUCCCAAAGUCAUGGUUAAGUGGGAAACGAUGUGGGAAGGCACAGACAGCCAGGAUGUUGGCUUAGAAGCAGCCAUCAUUUAAAGAAAGCGUAAUAGCUCACUGGUCGAGUCGGCCUGCGCGGAAGAUGUAACGGGGCUAAACCAUGCACCGAAGCUGCGGCAGCGACGCUUAGGCGUUGUUGGGUAGGGGAGCGUUCUGUAAGCCGUUGAAGGUGGCCUGUGAGGGUUGCUGGAGGUAUCAGAAGUGCGAAUGCUGACAUAAGUAACGAUAAAGCGGGUGAAAAGCCCGCUCGCCGGAAGACCAAGGGUUCCUGUCCAACGUUAAUCGGGGCAGGGUGAGUCGACCCAAGGCGAGGCUGAAAAGCGUAGUCGAUGGGAAACAGGUUAAUAUUCCUGUACUUGGUGUUACUGCGAAGGGGGACGGAGAAGGCUAGGCUAGCCGGGCGACGGUUGUCCCGGUUUAAGCGUGUAGGGGUGGACCUGGUAAAUCCGGUUGCAUACUAACCCUGAGGCGUGAUGACGAUGCACUACGGUGCAGAAGUAGUUGAUGCCCUGCUUCCAGGAAAAUCCUCUAAGCUCCAGGUAACAUUAAAUCGUACCCCAAACCGACACAGGUGGUCAGGUAGAGAAUACCAAGGCGCUUGAGAGAACUCGGGUGAAGGAACUAGGCAAAAUGGUGCCGUAACUUCGGGAGAAGGCACGCUGGCAUGUAGGUGAAGUCCCUUGCGGAUGGAGCCGAAGCCAGUCGAAGAUACCAGCUGGCUGCAACUGUUUAAUAAAACACAGCACUGUGCAAACACGAAAGUGGACGUAUACGGUGUGACGCCUGCCCGGUGCUGGAAGGUUAAUUGAUGGGGUCAGCCGCAAGGCGAAGCUCUUGAUCGAAGCCCCAGUAAACGGCGGCCGUAACUAUAACGGUCCUAAGGUAGCGAAAUUCCUUGUCGGGUAAGUUCCGACCUGCACGAAUGGCGUAAUGAUGGCCAGGCUGUCUCCACCCGAGACUCAGUGAAAUUGAACUCGCUGUGAAGAUGCAGUGUACCCGCGGCAAGACGGAAAGACCCCGUGAACCUUUACUAUAGCUUGACACUGAACAUUGAGCCUUGAUGUGUAGGAUAGGUGGGAGGCUUUGAAGCGUGGACGCCAGUCUGCGUGGAGCCAUCCUUGAAAUACCACCCUUUAAUGUUUGAUGUUCUAACUCUGCCCCAUAAUCUGGGGUGAGGACAGUGUCUGGUGGGUAGUUUGACUGGGGCGGUCUCCUCCCAAAGAGUAACGGAGGAGCACGAAGGUUAGCUAAUCACGGUCGGACAUCGUGAGGUUAGUGCAAAGGCAUAAGCUAGCUUGACUGCGAGAGUGACGGCUCGAGCAGGUACGAAAGUAGGUCUUAGUGAUCCGGUGGUUCUGAAUGGAAGGGCCAUCGCUCAACGGAUAAAAGGUACUCCGGGGAUAACAGGCUGAUACCGCCCAAGAGUUCAUAUCGACGGCGGUGUUUGGCACCUCGAUGUCGGCUCAUCACAUCCUGGGGCUGAAGUAGGUCCCAAGGGUAUGGCUGUUCGCCAUUUAAAGUGGUACGCGAGCUGGGUUUAGAACGUCGUGAGACAGUUCGGUCCCUAUCUGCCGUGGGCGUUGGAAGAUUGAGAGGGGUUGCUCCUAGUACGAGAGGACCGGAGUGAACGCACCACUGGUGUUCGGGUUGUCAUGCCAAUGGCAUUGCCCGGUAGCUAAGUGCGGAAAAGAUAAGCGCUGAAAGCAUCUAAGCGCGAAACUUGCCUCAAGAUGAGUCUUCCCUGGGCCUUUAAGGCCCCUGAAGGAACGUUUAAGACUAAGACGUUGAUAGGCUGGGUGUGUAAGUGCAGCGAUGCAUUGAGCUAACCAGUACUAAUGAUCCGUGAGGCUUAACCUU